CUGUCUCUUUUUAGCAGUGACAUCACUCUGCCUGGAAUUAUGAGGCUGUCUCCCCACCUGGCUGGCGGCCACUGCUUGGCCAUUCCGAAUGGAAUUCCUCUGUCUUCUAGCCCCUAGCACAGGCCUGGCCCAGCAGUGCUGCUCAGGAAAUGCCUUUGGAAUCAAAGGGAGGACUCUUCCAUGUGUUGAGGAUUUACUGUGUGCCAGGCUUGUCCCGGACACUUUAUAUGUGUUAUCUCAUUUACACGGACCAGUAAUCCUGGGAGGGAGAAGUCACUGUCCCAAUUUUACUGAGAAGCAGCAGCCUCAGUUGGGCUUUGCCUUAGGUUCACUUGUCAUAAUUGACGGCCCAGGACCCACUCCAGGGCUUGUGCUGUCAUCGUGCCAUGAUGACUUCUAGAAGCCUUGGGCUGCUCAAUCCCUCAAUACCUGGGAUCCUCAGAGACUAUAACAACUUCUAGUCCAGCUCUCAUUUCAUCCAUGAGGAAGCAGAAGCCAAGGAAGGAGAGAUGACUGACUGACGGCCCCUCUUUUCCACUUACUACUUAUCCACUUACUUUGGGGCAGGAUGAGGUCCAGUUUUACUCACCAUAGCAGCAUCCAGGUAGCCCAGUUCCUGGUCCAGGUUGGACCCUCAGUAAAUGCUUUUACAUUUUUAUUAUGAAAACAUUGAGAAAAAGUAUAAGGAUUAGUAUGACAGACAUCCAUAUACCCACCACUUAGCUCAUGAAAUAAAACACUGCUGCUUUAACUGAAGGCCCUGGGGUGCCCCUCAACAACUGCGCCCCUCCCCCCACAAAACUGAGAGUCUUCUGAAUUUGAUUCUUAUUAUUCUAUGCAGGGUUUUUUUUUUUUUUUUUUUUUUUUUUGUCUUUUUUUGUUUUUUUGUGACCACAUUCAAAGCAUAUGGAAGUUCCCAGGCUAGGGGUUGGAUCAGAGCUCCAGCUGCCGGCCUACACCAUAGCCACAGCAACACCAGAUCCAAGCCGAGUCUGAGACCUACACCACAGCUCAUGGCAAUGCCAGAUCCUUCACCCACUGAGCAAGGCCAGGGAUCGAACCCUCAUCCUCAUGGACGCUAGUCGGAUUUGUUACUGUUGAGCCACAACGGAAGCUCCGUAUGCAGUUUUUUAAUUAAGAUUUAAUUCAUAUACCAUAAAAGUGACCCUUUUUAAGUGUAUAAUUUCGUGGGUUUCCCUCUGAAAGACUGUGUGACCAUCAUCACUAUCUAAUUCCAGAAUGUUUUCAUCCCCAAAAGGAAUCUCCUACUCAUUAUCAGUCAGUCUCCUGUUCCUCUCUCCAGCUCCUGGCAGUCAUUAAUCUACUUUCUGUGUCUCUAUGGGUUUGUCUGUCUGGACAGUUAAUGUAAAUGGAAUCCUGUGUGUGGCGUCUUUCACUUACUAUGAUUUUUCGAGGGUCAUCCGUGUUGUAGUAUGGAUCAAUAUUUCAUUCCUUUUUACACCUGAAUGGUAUUCCAUUGUGUGACUACAGCACAUUUUGAUCACCCUUCAGUUGGGGGCUGUUUGGGUUAUUUCUGCUUUUUGCUCUUAUAAAUAAUUCUGUUAUGAACAAGUUUUUGUGUGGAUGUGUUUUCAGUUCUCUUGUGUAUAAGUAGACUUGCUGGGUCAUGUGGUAACUCUGUGUUUAACUUUUUGAGGAACUGCCAGAAUGUCUUCUAAAGUGGCUACACUAUUUGGCAUUCCCACCAGCAGUGUAUGAGAGUUCCAGUCUUUCCAUCCUCACCAGCACUUGUCCGUUUGAUUAUGAUCUUCCUAAUAGGUGUGAAGUGGCGUCUCGUUGUGGUUUCAAUUUGCAUUUCCCUGGUGACUAAUGAUAUUGAGCAUAUUUUCAUGUGUUUGUUGGCCAUUGGUAUAUCUCCUUUGGAGAAAUGUCUAUUAAAAUCUUUUGCCUGUUUUAAAGGCAAAAAUAUUGUUGAGUUAUAAGAAUUCUUUAUUUUAUUGCCCUUUUUAGGGCUGUGCCUACGGCAUAUGGAGGUUAGAGUGGGUGAGGGGAGUUCUUGGCAUCUAUCCCAAGACGGAUGGAACAAGAAUUUGGAGGGUGUGGUUGGCCUUAGCUUCUCCCCACCCCAGGACACAGGUGAUAAGGCAGCCCUCAAACUGAGGGCUGUCCAGAUUCCCUUCAGCAGGUAAAGGGUUAAACAAACUAUGGUGCAUCCGGACUUUGGAGCACUGCUCAGCAACAAAAAGGUACCAACUAUUGAUAUAAGGAACAGCUUGGGUUAAUCUCCAUAAUUAAUCUCUUGGGUUAAUUAUGCUGAGUGAAAAAGCCAAUCUCAAAAAGAUUACAUACCGUCUGAUUUCAUCUAGAUAACAUUUUUGAAUUGAUAGUUUUAGAAAUGAAAGACAGAUCGGAGGUUGCCAGGGGUUAAGGAUGGGAGGGAGGAGGGUCUGGCUAAAAA
This 2419-nucleotide long non-coding RNA is filed under the name Sus scrofa (pig). Its description in RNAcentral is "lncRNA (ENSSSCG00055020329.1)". Lineage: Eukaryota; Metazoa; Chordata; Mammalia; Artiodactyla; Suidae. The record is from RNAcentral.